This is a long non-coding RNA of Canis lupus familiaris (dog), 1700 nucleotides long. RefSeq lists it as uncharacterized. The transcript has 5 exons. The record is from RefSeq and is a predicted model, not a curated record. Lineage: Eukaryota; Metazoa; Chordata; Mammalia; Carnivora; Canidae.
ACCUCUCCGCGGCCGCCUCGCCCCGCCGCAGCGCAGGCCACGUGUCGGGAGCGCGUCUGUUCCUCCACGGGACAGGGGAGAGGAGACCCCCGAGGAGGAAGCCUGGCGUCCUGGAGGCGAGCGAAGGACCUUCCCGGCCCGACGCGGUGGGCGGCCCCGAGGCCGAGGACGGCUGCGCGCGGGCCGGAGGCUCACCCGGGAGGACUCAGCCGCCAGGUCAGCUGGAGUCUCCUUUUGAGAAUCCUCCAGAGGAAUUUUGAGGAGCAGAAGCAAUCACAUCGGGUGCUAGGAGCCGUGGGAAACGCGUUUUGGGAAUUCCAGACACCAUGGCCCUCUCCACGUGGCGGAAGCUGGACCAAAGAGAAAAUUAAGCCGAUGCUGAUAUGCCAGUCAGAGCCGUGCUGAGAGGGAGACAGGGAGACGGGAAGGAGGAACACGAUGAUGAGGUAAAGGUUGACUGCAUGCCCAGAGGUUAACUUGCCAGUACUUCUACGUGUUGUGCCUGUCUGCAGUGGUGCAAGCUCCUAUCAUGUGGAGAAAGCCCUCAGGCAGAAGAACGGAGAGAGCCAGGAACUUGAUGUGGGGAGCUGCCAGUGUGCCAGGAGCCAUCUCUCACAGGAAUAGAAGAAAGAUGACAUGAAUGUUGUGGUCUACAGAAGAGCAAAUCCUUCAGAAGAACUUGGGUCUAGCACAUAUAAAGGUGGCUUUUAUACGCAAGUUUUAUUUAGGAUGUCAGAGUACGCAGGGUUGGCAGGAGUCCAUCAAGAAAUGCUUUGUAUCCAUUAUGUGUCCUUGGCUUUUGUGUGUUCUACAUAUUUUUUGAGCAGUUGUUUUACUAUGUAUUUAUCAUCUUAAAAUUAUGAUAUAAUACUUCACAAUGACAUCUUAAAGAUAAACAUUCCUGCCCUUUCUUCUUCUUUUUGCUUUGCUUUAGUUGACUAUUGGGAACAAAUUUAAAAAGUAAAUAGCUUGAGGAUAUUGUUACCUACAAUCUGAGGCUUUUUAAAUUUUUUCUUUUGUUAAAUAGAAAAUUCCUAUAAUUCUUGCAAUAUGCUCCUAUAAAACCCUGUUUAUUUACUGCUUAAUUUUCUAUUUGACAUUUUCACGAUACUUACUCAAAUUGAAAAACAGCUUCAAACUGAUUUGUAUUUAUAUACACAAUCCAGGAUAUUUCAUGUAAAAAACAGCAAAUCAUUUUAAAGCAUAAGAAAUUGACUUUCUGUUUGAUUCUGAUGAGAAACAAUGGUGUUUAAUGCAGUUUUACAAACUUUUGAGUAAUUUGUGUUGGUCAGAGAUUGUGCUAGUUCCAAAAUAAUAGACUGCACACCCAGCUUUCAUAUAGAGCAUGGCAGAUGAUUCUUGUUAUCGGAAAAAGUAAUACCAAGAAAUGACUGUGAGAUUCAGCUGUUUUUCCUGCAGUUGAGUUCUGAGAAGACAGACCUGAAACCAUGGGAUUGACAACCUGAUAUUUCAGUCCCAUUGCCAGGGGUACAUUUAUUUCAGUGAGUCUACCAAAUAGUGAAGAGUCAUUCCUGUGUACAUUCUUCCAUGGAGCUGUGCUAGCCCUCCCCAGAUUCCCUGUGUUCCGCAGUUUGGCCAUUUACCCAUUCAUCAGAUGGGAAGAUCAUAAUGGGCACUUUUCUAGUCAUUAUGUGACAAUGCCAAACAAUUCCACGAGGAAAAAAAAGAGUUGGAUGAGA